GUGGGGAAUAUUGCGCAAUGGGCGAAAGCCUGACGCAGCGACGCCGCGUGAGGGAUGAAGGUUUUCGGAUCGUAAACCUCUGUCAGAAGGGAAGAAGUUGCAUGGGGCCAAUCACCUGUGCAUUGACGGUACCUUCAAAGGAAGCACCGGCUAACUCCGUGCCAGCAGCCGCGGUAAUACGGAGGGUGCGAGCGUUAAUCGGAAUUACUGGGCGUAAAGCGCACGUAGGCUGUAUGUCAAGUCAAGGGUGAAAUCCCACGGCUCAACCGUGGAACUGCCUUUGAAACUGGCAAACUGGAGUAUGUGAGAGGGCGGCGGAAUUCCUGGUGUAGGAGUGAAAUCCGUAGAUAUCAGGAGGAACAUCAGUGGCGAAGGCGGCCGCCUGGCACAAAACUGACGCUGAGGUGCGAAAGCGUGGGUAGCAAACAGG
RNAcentral lists this ribosomal RNA (430 nucleotides) under bacterium. RNAcentral's name for it is "bacterial SSU rRNA". It matches the Rfam family "Bacterial small subunit ribosomal RNA", at positions 354 to 776 of the family's 1533-position model. RNAcentral also lists the same sequence under 1 other name. The record is from RNAcentral.